UGGGCCCGGGGGGAGGAAGUGUUUAUGAACAAAAGGUCAUGAUUAAUCCGGCUCUGCUCAGAGCGCUGACGUGCAUU
Molecule: small nucleolar RNA, 77 nt
Organism: Phyllostomus discolor (pale spear-nosed bat)
Lineage: Eukaryota; Metazoa; Chordata; Mammalia; Chiroptera; Phyllostomidae
Product: small nucleolar RNA SNORD112
Exons: 1
Source: RefSeq, a predicted model, not a curated record